UAGGUUGAUUCAGGCUUUUGGCUCAAUUUCUGGAGGUACAUAAAAAUUGGGAAAUUAAGGCUUCAAAUUGGCUAACUAAUUGGAAUAAUGUCAAGGUCGGCUUUUAUAAGUAAUAGUGGCUUAAUUCCUAUUGCCUCUUAAAUCAUACUAAUGUAAAUCAAAUGUAUUACUAGACUUAGUAAGAUCUAAAGCAAGUUCUAGAGUAAUUGACAGUUGAUACAAUAAUCACACAUGAAUAAAUAAUCUCUUAAGUUGGCAUAGAUGUCCCAACUUACCCUCUAGGCUCAAACUUCUCACAAGGACCACAUGAUUGAUCAAGUAAGCAGACUAAAA
Molecule: long non-coding RNA, 333 nt
Filed under: Gossypium barbadense (sea-island cotton)
Lineage: Eukaryota; Viridiplantae; Streptophyta; Magnoliopsida; Malvales; Malvaceae
Description: long non-coding RNA (GBAR_LNC021567)
Source: RNAcentral